Molecule: ribosomal RNA, 373 nt
Filed under: uncultured organism
Description: bacterial SSU rRNA
Rfam family: Bacterial small subunit ribosomal RNA
Source: RNAcentral
CGGGGGGAGCAAGCGUUGUUCGGAUUUACUGGGCGUAAAGGGCGCGUAGGCGGCGCAACAAGUCACUUGUGAAAUCUCCGGGCUUAACCCGGAGCGGCCAAGUGAUACUGUCGUGCUAGAGUGCGGAAGGGGCUACUGGAAUUCUCGGUGUAGCGGUGAAAUGCGUAGAUAUCGAGAGGAACACCUGCGGCGAAGGCGGGUAGCUGGGCCGACACUGACGCUGAGGCGCGAAAGCCAGGGGAGCGAACGGGAUUAGAUACCCCGGUAGUCCUGGCCUUAAACGAUGGAUACUUGGUGUCCGAGGUUACAUAGUCCUCGGGUGCCGGCGCUAACGCAUUAAGUAUCCCGCCUGGGGAGUACGGUCGCAAGACUG